RNAcentral lists this transfer RNA (76 nucleotides) under Gammaproteobacteria bacterium. RNAcentral describes it as "tRNA-Arg". It matches the Rfam family "tRNA". Rfam says of the family: Transfer RNA (tRNA) molecules are approximately 80 nucleotides in length. Lineage: Bacteria; Pseudomonadati; Pseudomonadota; Gammaproteobacteria. The record is from RNAcentral.
GCCCCGGUAGCUCAGCGGAUAGAGCGGCCGCCUCCUAAGCGGCAGGUCGCAGGUUCGACUCCUGCCCGGGGCACCA